This 300-nucleotide ribosomal RNA is filed under the name uncultured Poterioochromonas. RNAcentral's name for it is "partial large subunit ribosomal RNA". It matches the Rfam family "Eukaryotic large subunit ribosomal RNA", at positions 40 to 350 of the family's 3401-position model. The record is from RNAcentral. Lineage: Eukaryota; Synurophyceae; Ochromonadales; Ochromonadaceae.
AUAUAACUAAGCGGAGGAAAAGAAACUAACUAGGAUUCCCUCAGUAACGGCGAGUGAAGCGGGAAAAGCGCAGACUGAAAACCUUCGGGGAUGUAGUCUGGAGAUGGGAAACCGAAUCUCAGGAAACCGAUAAAGUGGUCUGGAACGACACGCCGUGGAGGGUGAUAGCCCCGUUCGUAUCGGUGGAAAGAGGAAGUAGGUUCUUAUCAACGAGUCGAGUUGUUUGGGAUUGCAGCUCAAAGCGGGAGGUAAAUUCCUUCCAACGCUAAAUACGGAUAGGAGACCGAUAGCGCACAAGUA